This 253-nucleotide ribosomal RNA is filed under the name uncultured bacterium. Its description in RNAcentral is "partial 16S ribosomal RNA". It matches the Rfam family "Bacterial small subunit ribosomal RNA", at positions 524 to 776 of the family's 1533-position model. The record is from RNAcentral.
UACGAAGGGGGCUAGCGUUGCUCGGAAUCACUAGGCGUAAAGCGCACGUAUGCGGAUUGCUAAGUCAGGGGUGAAAUCCUGGAGCUCAACUCCAGAACUGCCUUUGAUACUGGCGAUCUUGAGUCCGGGAGAGGUGAGUGGAACUGCGAGUGUAGAGGUGAAAUUCGUAGAUAUUCGCAAGAACACCAGUGGCGAAGGCGGCUCACUGGCCCGGUACUGACGCUGAGGUGCGAAAGCGUGGGGAGCAAACAGG